AAAAUAUGGUUUUGAAAAUGCAAAGUCCUGUGCCUCCACAGGGAGGCUACAAUGUUAUUUCACAAGAACUAGAUGGGUUUGAUAGGCAUCUAAUUAGACAAAAGCAUUACAUGGCUUCCAAUGCAGUUUAUUACAAAUGAGGAACUACCGUCAUGACAAACCACAUAGAAAGUCAAGCUUUGUCUGUUUGUAGAUUAGGAAAGUUUGUUGUAAAUUUAGCCAAAAAAAAAAAAAAAAAGAAAAAAAAAAAAAAAGUUAUGCUCCGUGAUUGAAUUACAUUUCCUUCUAUGAUGUGCAUUUCAAGUUUAAACGUGGUGGAGUAUUAGUGAUUUCGGUUUCCUAAAUCAUUUAGAAGUGGAUUAAUCAACAGUUCAAAUUUAAAUAUUAAUGUUUGUUAAUAAAUGUUACAUAAAAAAAAAA
Long non-coding RNA from Carassius carassius (crucian carp), 420 nucleotides. RefSeq lists it as uncharacterized. The record is from RefSeq and is a predicted model, not a curated record. Lineage: Eukaryota; Metazoa; Chordata; Actinopteri; Cypriniformes; Cyprinidae. The transcript has 2 exons.